Molecule: long non-coding RNA, 1696 nt
Organism: Cornus florida
Lineage: Eukaryota; Viridiplantae; Streptophyta; Magnoliopsida; Cornales; Cornaceae
Exons: 3
Source: RefSeq, a predicted model, not a curated record
UCUAAAAGUGUAUAGAGUUUCUUAACAAUUUUGGUUGAAGCCGCCUUUCGCCGCCGCAUCUCCAUCGUUUUCGGCAGCGAGCUCUUGGCCAAAGGGACGAGCUCUCCUCCUUCUUCUCUCGGUUUCCUCUCAUUUCAGAAUCUCUUUUCUCUUGUUCUCCAGCCGACUUAGGUCAAGGAGAACUGCCAGCAAGCUCUGCAAAUUCCGAAGAUACUCCGGCGAUGUUCCAGUCACCAUUUCUGGCCACGGCUAUUUCUAUCAUCUCUCUCCUUAAUUCCGAUGCAGCGGAAGAAGGCAAUUACUAGGAAAAGAGUAGCACCGCCUUGACAGCUACCUCCUUCUCCAAAGGAGUAGCCUUCCUCUUCAUUUGAGGCUGAGGCGACUGUAUCAUCUUCUACGUCUUCUUCCAGUGCAUCAUCUAUGGACGCACAGGGCCCCAUUGAUAGAGCAGUUCCUGAUCCGUAUUUUUCAAAGAGAGAUCAGGAGCUUGAGCAUACUUUUGAGAUAUAUUUCUUUGCCCAGUCAGAGCAGACUAAGUGGGCCUAGGAUGAGAUGAAAUGGUGAGGCAUUGCUGAUAUUCAUACGCCGAUCAGCGGCACGGUUUAUCCCGUGGUUGCAUUAUUCUACCAGCACCUCCGGCGAGAUGAGGAUGACCCAUAGAUCUUUCAUACUAUUAUAGAUGGGCAGGGCAUUGUCAUUUUUACUAUCUUCGUAGAGAUAGCCUCCCGAUGCCCCUACAUGUCUCCAGUGGUCACAGAGACUGAGAAGCCCUUAUAUCCUAUUAUUACAGAGUAUCCUUCAGAGAUGGAUAUAGUUGUUUCUUUCUCUCCUCAAACAGCUUAUUUAGGCAACCCCCAUGCCGAGCGAGUGGACAUUCCAUCCAGAUUAUGGUUCAUCGACACAGUGCUCUUCCGCAAUGCUUUUCCAUCUAGGCAUAAUACUUAGAGGUGGGAGGGGAUUCUGAAAGCCAUGUAUAGUUUUAAUCAGGGAUGUUGGGUGUCAAUUCCUUCUCUUAUCUGGGAGAUUAUUCACAAGUACUGGGAGAACUUGGUGUUUAAGCGGAGUGAGAAAACAAAGUCCUGGUCAUUACCCAUUGGCCACUUAAUCACACAGAUUAUAAAGAACCAGGGCUUUCAAAUUGGCCCAGCAGAGGAGUUAGAGCCUGCCAUUAAGAUGAAAAAAAGGAAGUAUGGUGCUACUCAGUGGAAAAGAAGCUACAAUGCCUGUCAGACCAAUAUGAAAAGGGCUAUGUUGAAGAGGCUUCAGACUGUAAAUUCAUAGGAAGGUUCACCUACCUUUUCCAGGCCCAGAUCUAGACAGCGCACUACUUCCAGUACAUCCCAUUAUCCUCCCACAAUAUCCCAUUUCCAGAUGAGCACCUCUUCAGCUCCACCUUUAGCAGCUCAGACAGGCCAUCCUCUCAGCAUGCUAGCUCUGAGUCUAGUUUCCGAGGCGAUAUUACACAGCUCCAUUCUGAUCUCAGAUCAUUUAAUCCUUGGAUGUUUUAGCGAGUUGCUAAUGUUGAGAAAGGUAUUACCGAUGCUAGGCGAGACAUUGCAUUCCUCAGGGAUAAUGUUGCACAGAUCCGUUCAGAGAUAACCAGUUUUCGAGGUCAAUAAGGUUCAAACGGGAUAAAAAUAGCUUAUUAAACCCUUUUUGGAGUCAAGAAGAAGUUCCAAAAAAAGUCAAAAAAAGU